Molecule: ribosomal RNA, 542 nt
Filed under: uncultured archaeon
Lineage: Archaea
Description: bacterial SSU rRNA
Rfam family: Archaeal small subunit ribosomal RNA
Source: RNAcentral
GCCAGCAGCCGCGGUAAUACCGGCGGCUCGAGUGGUGGCCACUUUAUUGGGCUUAAAGCGUUCGUAGCUGGGUCGUUAAGUCUCUUGGGAAAUCCGGCAGCUUAACUGUCGGGCGUCUAAGGGAUACUGGCGAUCUUGGAACCGGGAGAGGUGAGGGGUACUUCGGGGGUAGGAGUGAAAUCCUGUAAUCCUCGAGGGACCACCUGUGGCGAAGGCGCCUCACCAGAACGGCUUCGACAGUGAGGGACGAAAGCUGGGGGAGCAAACCGGAUUAGAUACCCGGGUAGUCCCAGCCGUAAACGAUGUGCGUUAGGUGUAUCGACGACCACGAGUCGUCGAGGUGCCGAAGGGAAACCGUGAAACGUACCGCCUGGGAAGUACGGUCGCAAGGCUGAAACUUAAAGGAAUUGGCGGGGGAGCACCACAACAGGUGGAGCCUGCGGUUUUAAAUUGGACUCAACGCCGGGAAGCUCACCGGAUAAGACAGCUGAAUGAUUGCCGGGCUGAAGACUCUGCAUGACUAGCUGAGAGGAGGUGCAUGG